CAGCCGCCACGGGAAUACGGAGGGUGCAAGCGUUAAUCGGAAUUACUGGGCGUAAAGCGCACGCAGGCGGUCUGACAAGUCAGAUGUGAAAUCCCCGGGCUUAACCUGGGAACUGCAUUUGAAACUGUCAGGCUGGAGUCUUGUAGAGGGGGGUGGAAUUCCAGGUGUAGCGGUGAAAUGCGUAGAGAUCUGGAGGAAUACCGGUGGCGAAGGCGGCCCCCUGGACAAAGACUGACGCUCAGGUGCGAAAGCGUGGGGAGCAAACAGGAUUAAAUACCCGUGUAGUCCCUGUCUCUUAUAA
Molecule: ribosomal RNA, 301 nt
Filed under: uncultured bacterium
Lineage: Bacteria
Description: partial 16S ribosomal RNA
Rfam family: Bacterial small subunit ribosomal RNA
Source: RNAcentral